GGUAUUUUGACUAUACAAAGGUAUUGAAAUAAGAUUUUAAUUGAAUGCUAAGAGAAUGGAAGUCCAGAAAAAAACUUUUUUUAAAUUAAAAAUUGAAGUUUUUUUAAUUUGUGCAGAAACAAUUAUUUAUAUUAAAGACAAGAAGACCCUAUGAAUUUAUUAAAUUUUUAUUUAAUAUGUAAUUACUAUUAGAAAAAUUUUGGCUGGGGCGGCUAAAAAAUAUUAUGAACUUUUUAAAAAUAAAAUGAUCCAUUAUUAAUGAUUUUAUGUUAAAUA
This 276-nucleotide ribosomal RNA is filed under the name Rhipicephalus sanguineus (brown dog tick). RNAcentral describes it as "partial 16S ribosomal RNA". The record is from RNAcentral. Lineage: Eukaryota; Metazoa; Arthropoda; Arachnida; Ixodida; Ixodidae.